This 253-nucleotide ribosomal RNA is filed under the name uncultured bacterium. Its description in RNAcentral is "partial 16S ribosomal RNA". It matches the Rfam family "Bacterial small subunit ribosomal RNA", at positions 524 to 776 of the family's 1533-position model. The record is from RNAcentral.
UACGAAGGGAGCUAGCGUUGUUCGGAAUUACUGGGCGUAAAGCGCACGUAGGCGGAUUGCUAAGUCAGGGGUGAAAUCCCGGGGCUCAACCUCGGAACUGCCUUUGAUACUGACAAUCUCGAGUCCGAUAGAGGUGGGUGGAAUUCCUAGUGUAGAGGUGAAAUUCGUAGAUAUUAGCUAGAACACCAGUGGCGAAGGCGGCCAACUGGUCCGACACUGACGCUGAGGUGCGAAAGCGUGGGGAGCAAACAGG